UCAUCGAUUUAGACUUCCGUGUAGGUGACAUCCUCUUCACCAGCGUAAGCCGAAUCACAGGCCCUCACCACACACUUGUGCCUCAUCAUCUCUUUCACCCUCCCCCACCACCCCGCUUUGCCUCUGGGCACCCCCAAUCAAAUGUCCAGCGCCACCUGUUGGUUAGUGCUUCUUUUUUCUUCUCCUUGAAAGUGAGAUCCUACGGUAUUUGACUAUGUCCCCGGGGCCUGUUUGACUUCCCCUAAAACCCUCCCAGCCGUUCUGGUGGUCACAAAUGGCUGGAUUGCAGCCUUUGUUCCCGCUGAGUGGUAUGCCAUUGUGUGGCUAUAGCCCAUGCUCCUUCUCCAUUCUUCCCUUGCUGGGCACCAGGGCGGCUUCCAAGUCUUGGAGAGCGGGAGCAAGGCUGUGGUGAACUCAGCGGUGCACAUGUCUUUAGGCGGUUGUGUUUCCGAGUUCUUUGGCUAAACACGCCCCCGAGGAAUAGCUGGAUCCUAUGGGACAUGGAUUCCUAAAUUUCUGAGUCAGUUCCACACCGCUUGGCC
Molecule: long non-coding RNA, 542 nt
Filed under: Equus caballus (horse)
Lineage: Eukaryota; Metazoa; Chordata; Mammalia; Perissodactyla; Equidae
Description: lncRNA (ENSECAG00000045446.1)
Source: RNAcentral